This 411-nucleotide unclassified non-coding RNA is filed under the name Hevea brasiliensis (rubber tree). The record is from RNAcentral. Lineage: Eukaryota; Viridiplantae; Streptophyta; Magnoliopsida; Malpighiales; Euphorbiaceae.
AAGAGCAAACUCACGAUCUGUUGAGUGCCUGAAUCAUACAAGACAUUGAAGUACUGCAGAAUCAUUUUAACACUUCUAUUCUAAAGUACAAGGUCUGAAAUAUCUGUGUCCAGUGCCCACAGGACCACAUCUGUCUAGAAAGUAGAACUAACUGUAUCUACUCGAUUAAAAUCAUUGAUCAUUCAAGCAAAAUGAAAAAGUAUACAGGUAAACUCAGUUGCCCAAGAUUAUAAACUUCUGCUAGAUUACAUACGGCUUCACCAACUCAAUCACCCAUUUAUCUAAAUACACCUUUACUUUCAAGGAUUCAUUUGGUUUUCACAAAUAAAUUUGACUAUAGCACAACAAAUGCCAGAUUACAAUAACAAAGAUUCCAGCCACUAUAUACCUGCCAAAAUAUAGCUUUUUGAU